This 468-nucleotide ribosomal RNA is filed under the name uncultured bacterium. RNAcentral's name for it is "partial 16S ribosomal RNA". It matches the Rfam family "Bacterial small subunit ribosomal RNA", at positions 28 to 507 of the family's 1533-position model. The record is from RNAcentral.
GACGAACGCUGGCGGCGUGCUUAACACAUGCAAGUCGAACGGAAAGGCCCUGCUUUUGUGGGGUGCUCGAGUGGCGAACGGGUGAGUAACACGUGAGUAACCUGCCCUUGACUUUGGGAUAACUUCAGGAAACUGGGGCUAAUACCGGAUAGGAGCUCCUGCUGCAUGGUGGGGGUUGGAAAGUUUCGGCGGUUGGGGAUGGACUCGCGGCUUAUCAGCUUGUUGGUGGGGUAGUGGCUUACCAAGGCUUUGACGGGUAGCCGGCCUGAGAGGGUGACCGGCCACAUUAGGACUGAGAGACGGCCCAGACUCCUACGGGAGGCAGCAGUGGGGAAUAUUGCACAAUGGGCGGAAGCCUGAUGCAGCAACGCCGCGUGCGGGAUGACGGCCUUCGGGUUGUAAACCGCUUUCGCCUGUGACGAAGCGUGAGUGACGGUAAUGGGUAAAGAAGCACCGGCUAACUACGUG